Molecule: transfer RNA, 87 nt
Filed under: Salmo salar (Atlantic salmon)
Lineage: Eukaryota; Metazoa; Chordata; Actinopteri; Salmoniformes; Salmonidae
Rfam family: tRNA
About the family: Transfer RNA (tRNA) molecules are approximately 80 nucleotides in length.
Source: Rfam by way of RNAcentral
UUCCCUGUGGCUCAGUUGGUAGAGCAUGGUGUUUGCAACGCCGGCAUGGUGUUUGCAGGGUUGUGGGUUCGAUUCCCACAGGGGGGC